This 108-nucleotide ribosomal RNA is filed under the name Pan troglodytes (chimpanzee). The record is from RNAcentral. Lineage: Eukaryota; Metazoa; Chordata; Mammalia; Primates; Hominidae.
GUCUACAGCCAUACCGCCCUGAAUGUGUCUUAUCUAGGAAGCUAAGCAGGGUCAGGCCUAGUUAGUACUUGGAAAAGAGACAAAAGAGUAAAUAAAUUUUGGUGAAUA